GGGGCUGUAGCUUAAUGGUAAAGCGCUUCUCUCUUUAGACGACACACACAACGACCCACAUACAACUGGCUAGAGCCCUGGGAGAGAAGAGAUGAUGGUUCGAUUCCGUCCUGCUCCA
RNAcentral lists this transfer RNA (118 nucleotides) under Colletotrichum orbiculare MAFF 240422. Its description in RNAcentral is "tRNA-Lys for anticodon CUU". It matches the Rfam family "tRNA". Rfam says of the family: Transfer RNA (tRNA) molecules are approximately 80 nucleotides in length. The record is from Rfam by way of RNAcentral. Lineage: Eukaryota; Fungi; Ascomycota; Sordariomycetes; Glomerellales; Glomerellaceae.